UUUAAAUUGAGAGUUUGAUCCUGGCUCAGGACGAACGCUGGCGGCGUGCCUAACACAUGCAAGUCGAGCGAUGAAACUUCCUUCGGGGAGUGGAUUAGCGGCGGACGGGUGAGUAACACGUGGGUAACCUGCCUCAAAGAGGGGGAUAGCCUUCCGAAAGGGAGAUUAAUACCGCAUAACAUUAUUUUAUGGCAUCAUAGAAUAAUCAAAGGAGCAAUCAGCUUUGAGAUGGACCCGCGGCGCAUUAGCUAGUUGGUGAGGUAAGGGCUCACCAAGGCGACGAUGCGUAGCCGACCUGAGAGGGUGAUCGGCCACAUUGGAACUGAGACACGGUCCAGACUCCUACGGGAGGCAGCAGUGGGGAAUAUUGCGCAAUGGGGGAAACCCUGACGCAGCAACGCCGCGUGAGUGAUGAAGGUUUUCGGAUCGUAAAACUCUGUCUUUAGGGACGAUAAUGACGGUACCUAAGGAGGAAGCCACGGCUAACUACGUGCCAGCAGCCGCGGUAAUACGUAGGUGGCAAGCGUUGUCCGGAUUUACUGGGCGUAAAGAGUAUGUAGGUGGGUGCUUAAGUCAGAUGUGAAAUUCCCGGGCUUAACCUGGGCGCUGCAUUUGAAACUGGGCAUCUAGAGUGCAGGAGAGGAAAGUGGAAUUCCUAGUGUAGCGGUGAAAUGCGUAGAGAUUAGGAAGAACACCAGUGGC
Molecule: ribosomal RNA, 702 nt
Filed under: Clostridium botulinum C
Lineage: Bacteria; Bacillati; Bacillota; Clostridia; Eubacteriales; Clostridiaceae
Description: bacterial SSU rRNA
Rfam family: Bacterial small subunit ribosomal RNA
Source: RNAcentral